Molecule: non-coding RNA, 725 nt
Organism: Mus caroli (Ryukyu mouse)
Lineage: Eukaryota; Metazoa; Chordata; Mammalia; Rodentia; Muridae
Source: RefSeq, a predicted model, not a curated record
AGUCACAUCUUCCCAGGACCCAGGGCUUUCCUGGACAGUUCAUAGGGUGCAUUAGGGCAACAGGUUGGGCAUAGGUUGUUAAGAGCAUGGCUCCAGCCUAGUCCUCACAGCUUACUGGAGAGUUUGACUCUGCCACUUGGUGGCGGAGAGCUGGAGCGACAGGGCUGGGGACAGGCAGGAUUGCUUUGGCGAAGAUGGUUCUUCCGGGUUCCCCAGUGGACCAGAAGAUCCCCUUCUUUCCUUUUGCCAGAUUGGCAAAUGAUGUUCUCAGCUUGUUCCACUCUUGGGUUCAUCGCACCCCAGAGGACGCCCCGCCGAGGCGCAGACGGAUCUCCAGCAAGGCGGGUGGAAAAAAAAAAAAAAAACCAGCUGGCCUUCAGGAGAGAGCUGCCCUGUUCAUGCGGGGAAAAAGAGAAAAGAGGACAUGGUGAAAGCUAAGGCACUGUGGAUUGACCAGGCGGCCGCAGCUCCAACCCACGCUCCAAGAAAGAACAGUGGUCCGGGGGAUGACCAAGGAUGAGUCUCCUACCGUGGCCUGCUUGGGGGCAGAUCUAGCUCCCCCUCCCGCCUUUCUUUUACAACUUCCAUGCCUAAGACAAAAUGAUCAAGGAACCCAACCCGUACCUUCACAACCAGACCCUCCGGGUUAUCCCAGGCCUGCAUAUCGCAGAGCCCGGGCGGGGAUUGCAGCGUGCACGGAAUCGAAUUAAACGCAUCUCGGUGGU